RNAcentral lists this ribosomal RNA (1068 nucleotides) under Salmonella enterica subsp. enterica serovar Enteritidis. RNAcentral describes it as "partial 23S ribosomal RNA". It matches the Rfam family "Bacterial large subunit ribosomal RNA", at positions 161 to 1269 of the family's 2925-position model. The record is from RNAcentral. Lineage: Bacteria; Pseudomonadati; Pseudomonadota; Gammaproteobacteria; Enterobacterales; Enterobacteriaceae.
AAUCCAUAGGUUAAUGAGGCGAACCGGGGGAACUGAAACAUCUAAGUACCCCGAGGAAAAGAAAUCAACCGAGAUUCCCCCAGUAGCGGCGAGCGAACGGGGAGGAGCCCAGAGCCUGAAUCAGCAUGUGUGUUAGUGGAAGCGUCUGGAAAGGCGCGCGAUACAGGGUGACAGCCCCGUACACAAAAGCGCAUGUGCUGUGAGCUCGAUGAGUAGGGCGGGACACGUGGUAUCCUGUCUGAAUAUGGGGGGACCAUCCUCCAAGGCUAAAUACUCCUGACUGACCGAUAGUGAACCAGUACCGUGAGGGAAAGGCGAAAAGAACCCCAGCGAGGGGAGUGAAAAAGAACCUGAAACCGUGUACGUACAAGCAGUGGGAGCACCCUUUGGGUGUGACUGCGUACCUUUUGUAUAAUGGGUCAGCGACUUAUAUUCUGUAGCAAGGUUAACCGAAUAGGGGAGCCGGAGGGAAACCGAGUCUUAACCGGGCGUUAAGUUGCAGGGUAUAGACCCGAAACCCGGUGAUCUAGCCAUGGGCAGGUUGAAGGUUGGGUAACACUAACUGGAGGACCGAACCGACUAAUGUUGAAAAAUUAGCGGAUGACCUGUGGCUGGGGGUGAAAGGCCAAUCAAACCGGGAGAUAGCUGGUUCUCCCCGAAAGCUAUUUAGGUAGCGCCUCGUGAAUUCAUCUCCGGGGGUAGAGCACUGUUUCGGCUAGGGGGCCAUCCCGGCUUACCAACCCGAUGCAAACUGCGAAUACCGGAGAAUGUUAUCACGGGAGACACACGGCGGGUGCUAACGUCCGUCGUGAAGAGGGAAACAACCCAGACCGCCAGCUAAGGUCCCAAAGUCAUGGUUAAGUGGGAAACGAUGUGGGAAGGCCCAGACAGCCAGGAUGUUGGCUUAGAAGCAGCCAUCAUUUAAAGAAAGCGUAAUAGCUCACUGGUCGAGUCGGCCUGCGCGGAAGAUGUAACGGGGCUAAACCAUGCACCGAAGCUGCGGCAGCGACACUGUGUGUUGUUGGGUAGGGGAGCGUUCUGUAAGCCUGUGAAGGUGUGUCGUGAGGC